RNAcentral lists this ribosomal RNA (465 nucleotides) under Vreelandella stevensii. RNAcentral's name for it is "partial 16S ribosomal RNA". It matches the Rfam family "Bacterial small subunit ribosomal RNA", at positions 338 to 795 of the family's 1533-position model. The record is from RNAcentral. Lineage: Bacteria; Pseudomonadati; Pseudomonadota; Gammaproteobacteria; Oceanospirillales; Halomonadaceae.
CCUACGGGUGGCUGCAGUGGGGAAUAUUGGACAAUGGGCGAAAGCCUGAUCCAGCCAUGCCGCGUGUGUGAAGAAGGCCUUCGGGUUGUAAAGCACUUUCAGUGGGGAAGAAAGCCUUGGGGCUAAUACCCUCGAGGAAGGACAUCACCCACAGAAGAAGCACCGGCUAACUCCGUGCCAGCAGCCGCGGUAAUACGGAGGGUGCGAGCGUUAAUCGGAAUUACUGGGCGUAAAGCGCGCGUAGGCGGUCUGAUAAGCCGGUUGUGAAAGCCCCGGGCUCAACCUGGGAACGGCAUCCGGAACUGUCAGGCUAGAGUGCAGGAGAGGAAGGUAGAAUUCCCGGUGUAGCGGUGAAAUGCGUAGAGAUCGGGAGGAAUACCAGUGGCGAAGGCGGCCUUCUGGACUGACACUGACGCUGCGGUGCGAAAGCGUGGGUAGCAAACAGGAUUAGAUACCCCUGUAGUC